This 65-nucleotide transfer RNA is filed under the name Dipodomys ordii (Ord's kangaroo rat). It matches the Rfam family "tRNA". Rfam says of the family: Transfer RNA (tRNA) molecules are approximately 80 nucleotides in length. Their secondary structure includes four short double-helical elements and three loops (D, anti-codon, and T loops). The record is from Rfam by way of RNAcentral. Lineage: Eukaryota; Metazoa; Chordata; Mammalia; Rodentia; Heteromyidae.
GGUGGCUCAGCAGUAGAGUGCUUGCCUUGCAAGCAUGAGGCCCUGGGUUCGAUUCCUCAGCACCA